RNAcentral lists this ribosomal RNA (119 nucleotides) under Schizosaccharomyces octosporus yFS286. Lineage: Eukaryota; Fungi; Ascomycota; Schizosaccharomycetes; Schizosaccharomycetales; Schizosaccharomycetaceae. The record is from RNAcentral.
GUCUACGGCCACACCUAGGCGAAAACACCAGUUCCCGUCCGAUCACUGCAGUUAAGCGUCUGAGGGUCUCGUUAGUACUAUGGUUGGAGACAACAUGGGAAUCCGGGAUGCUGUAGGUU